CAAAUAUACAAACAUAUAUAACAGUAUUUCCUAAGUAUCUAUAUAUUAAAUGAAUCGAGAAUAGUAUGAAACCAGUACAAUAUUAUUAUGGCAUUAUUCAUUCUUUUCAAUAUCAAACACAGUGACAACAAAAAUAAAACAUUAUGCAGUUGUGCUAGUAGGUAUGAGUAAGACCUUAUGUUAAUGUGGGACGGUCGGUCUCGUUAAUCCCGUUUCACCAUGGGCUGGAUAUUCAUUUUCCCACCGUGCAUGGUAGAAAUAUGUAAGCACAUUUGUAUUUAUUUAUUUUUAUAUUUUAUAUUUUAUUUGUCAUAUGUAAGCACAUAUAUAUGUAUGCUUAAUGCUUAUUGCAUGUCACAUAAGUGUCCACAUGUCUCUGAUCAUGUAGUUUUGUUUAAGCAUAUAUACAAAAACGAAAUCUGUGUUUAGUUCUGUUUUUAAUAUUUAAGGUUGAAUGAUUUUUGUUUUGUUUUUACUUCAAUCGUGAGAGUUUCAAACUUUUAUCCCAUAAUCUCUCCCAAUAUCCGAAUCAGCUUUUAAAUAUUUUACGACAUUUUUAAAACGUCAGUUUUGUUGGAGUGAACAUAUAUUUCUAAUAAGGCAGGUAUGCGGUUGGUAAUGGUAUCAUUUUUCUCAUAUAUAUAACUGAUUUUAUUUUAAGAAUUAAUAACUUUUUCAUGUAUUUCUUUUUUAUAGAUGUGUAUUUGUGAUGUAUGACGUCCGUCUCCAUAACAGUGGUCCGUGGAGCCCUGUCCGAAUCUAUCCACCCAACAGAUAUAUCACGACUUCACCUUUUCCACUUGGUCAAUGACCAACGACAUCUUCGUCCUUACCUCAUUUAUCUAUAUCUUUAUUAUAUAUGCUCUCAAACACACGUAGAUCAAUAAAGUUUUACUUUCCGAAUAAUCUUAUACGAAUAUUUAUCAACGUCCACAAAAUAUGAUUUAAUCGUUAGCGACUGACUAGAUACCCAACCCAUAGAAUGGAGCCUUGAUGUCUCCUAGUACGUAUUGGAGCAUUUUGCUCCUCGUAAGAUUUAUAGCCAUUAGGAAUAUCACUAGACCAACGAAUCUUAUUCGUGAAAGUUUUAGGAGAGUUGAUUCAACGUUUUCUAAACUUUUUUUAAAAAGAGAUAAAGCUUUUUCUCAUUUUUUUUAUUUUCGUUGAUUAUUAAUUAUUCUGAUUCUUGUUGUAUAUAAUGUUUCUACCUACUCUUUACUUACAAAUUCCGACUCUCGUUGGAUACCAUUAAUCAAUAAAAGGGAUUAUUUUUUAUUUACAAAAGUAAAACUCAUGAAUAUAUAAGAGGGUCGUAUUGGUAUAUGAAUGGAUAACACUGUAGAUAUUCAAAUUAAAUGGUCAAGUCAUUAUCAGCAUUAUAGCGAAAAUCUUUCAUGCAGAAGAAAGCUACAACCAUAACAAAAAUUAUUUUGAAAAAAAAAUCAAAAUACAAACUAUAACCCACGUGAGAAAUACCAAGUGCCAACAAACAAAGCAUGAUCAAGAAUAAAAAUCGUAAAUCAUGGUUUCAAGAUAUGAUUCCAAUGUAGUGCAUGAUUUAUGAAAUAUAUUUUUUGUUUUUUAGAAAAUACGCUCUCGUGGAAGUGUCUUUGAUGCAAUGAUCUACCGAAAUACUAAGAAAUUUAGAAAAAGUAUUUAAAGUUUGAAUUUAGAACGUAUAUUCGAUAACUAGUAAAAUUUGUGUUCCUAAAGUGAGUAUUCUUUUGUAAUGUUACAUGUUAAAUAAUGAAGAAAUAAAAGUAUUUGUGUAUAGUUAGAUCUAUUUGUAGUAUAUGAUAGCUUCCCACUUUUAAAACUUUAUAAUCUUUGAUAAAUAUUGAUAUAUGAUCAUUGAUAAAGGUACAUUUGAUUCCUUAAACAGGGGUUUAAAAACAAGAAACACAUGCUUCAACUAAUUCCAAACCCAUAAUUUCUCCUUUCUCAAAAUACUUUGUUCUUAUAAUCCUUUUACUCAUAUCCCAAAAACUCGAUUUAAGACACGACGAUAACACUAAAAUACCAAUACACAAUCAAAAUAUUCCAAUUAAUAUUUUGAUUAUAUUAAAAAGGUAUGUUCAAUAGAAUCAUUGUUUGGGAAAGGCGUAUCCAAAUACGUGUAUAAGUAUGCAAAUGACGUGAAACUUUUUUUUUGACCCACUAGAAAAAGUUACAUGACUAUACAAUGUUGAAUAUAUAGAUAUUCUCCUCUACAAUAUGCUUUUGUCAUGCACUUUUGUCCCUUGGUCCAUUGAAGAACCAAUUUUAAAUCCAUCUUUCUCAAUUGCCAUUAUCUCAACUUUUAUUUUGUACACUAUUCAUAUCAAUAUUUCAAUUUUGUGACUAGUAUCAAAACAAGUAAAAAAUAG
This 2366-nucleotide long non-coding RNA is filed under the name Arabidopsis thaliana (thale cress). Its description in RNAcentral is "long non-coding RNA (ATHA_LNC000397)". Lineage: Eukaryota; Viridiplantae; Streptophyta; Magnoliopsida; Brassicales; Brassicaceae. The record is from RNAcentral.